RNAcentral lists this ribosomal RNA (274 nucleotides) under uncultured bacterium. RNAcentral's name for it is "partial 16S ribosomal RNA". It matches the Rfam family "Archaeal small subunit ribosomal RNA", at positions 473 to 747 of the family's 1478-position model. The record is from RNAcentral.
AAACCAGCACCUCAAGUGGUCAGGAGGAUUAUUGGGCCUAAAGCAUCCGUAGCCUGUUCUGUAAGUUUUCGGUUAAAUCCAUUAGCUCAACUAAUGGGCCGCCGAAAAUACUGUAGAACUAGGGAGUGGGAGAGGUAGACGGUAUUCGGUAGGAAGGGGUAAAAUCCUUUGAUCUAUUGAGGACCACCUGUGGCGAAGGCGGUCUACCAGAACACGUUCGACGGUGAGGGAUGAAAGCUGGGGGAGCAAACCGGAGUAGAAACCCGGGUAGUCC